This 253-nucleotide ribosomal RNA is filed under the name uncultured bacterium. RNAcentral describes it as "partial 16S ribosomal RNA". It matches the Rfam family "Bacterial small subunit ribosomal RNA", at positions 524 to 776 of the family's 1533-position model. The record is from RNAcentral.
UACAGAGGUCUCAAGCGUUGUUCGGAUUCAUUGGGCGUAAAGGGUGCGUAGGCGGCGCGGUAAGUCGGGUGUGAAAUCUCGGGGCUUAACUCCGAAACUGCAUUCGAUACUGCCGUGCUUGAGGACUGGAGAGGAGACUGGAAUUUACGGUGUAGCGGUGAAAUGCGUAGAUAUUGGGAAGAACACCGGUGGCGAAGGCGGCGCUCUGGACCGAUACUGACGCUGAGGCGCGAAAGCGUGGGGAGCAAACAGG